GGUAGUAGCAAAUAUUCAAGUGGGAACUUUGAAGGUCGAAGUGGAGAAGGGUUCCAUGUGAACAGCAGUAGAACAUGGGUCAGUCGACCCUAUAUGCUCGCGUUGCCCGGGCGGACCAAAAGGGAAUCGGGUUAAUAUUCCCGAAUCAAAACAGAGCUUGGCACUCCGGCGCCUUAUAGUGCGGUAACGCAAGCGAAAUCGGAAACAUUGGUGUGAACCUGGAAAAAGUUCUCUUUUCUUUGAAAGGGUUGGCGACCCUGAAAUCGGUUUGCCUGGAGAUGGGGACAUGUGCCCCCCGUAGCACUUCUCUUGUGCUGUCCUGAGAGCCCGCGUCGGCUCGUGAAAAUCCGAGGGAGAUGGUGUAAUUUUCGUGCAAGGUCGUACCCAUAUCCGCAAUUUUCAAACGUAAUGAUGAAC
RNAcentral lists this non-coding RNA (417 nucleotides) under Ciona intestinalis (vase tunicate). Its description in RNAcentral is "Eukaryotic large subunit ribosomal RNA". It matches the Rfam family "Eukaryotic large subunit ribosomal RNA", at positions 1456 to 1880 of the family's 3401-position model. Lineage: Eukaryota; Metazoa; Chordata; Ascidiacea; Phlebobranchia; Cionidae. The record is from Rfam by way of RNAcentral.